Molecule: ribosomal RNA, 434 nt
Filed under: uncultured Lachnospiraceae bacterium
Lineage: Bacteria; Bacillati; Bacillota; Clostridia; Lachnospirales; Lachnospiraceae
Description: partial 16S ribosomal RNA
Rfam family: Bacterial small subunit ribosomal RNA
Source: RNAcentral
ACGGGAGGCAGCAGUGGGGAAUAUUGCACAAUGGGGGAAACCCUGAUGCAGCGACGCCGCGUGAGCGAUGAAGUAUUUCGGUAUGUAAAGCUCUAUCAGCAGGGAAGAAAAUGACGGUACCUGACUAAGAAGCCCCGGCUAACUACGUGCCAGCAGCCGCGGUAAUACGUAGGGGGCAAGCGUUAUCCGGAUUUACUGGGUGUAAAGGGAGCGUAGACGGUAUGACAAGUCUGAAGUGAAAGGCAUGGGCUCAACCUGUGGACUGCUUUGGAAACUGUCACACUAGAGUACCGGAGGGGUAAGCGGAAUUCCUGGUGUAGCGGUGAAAUGCGUAGAUAUCAGGAGGAACACCGGUGGCGAAGGCGGCUUACUGGACGGAAACUGACGUUAAGGCUCGAAAGCGUGGGGAGCAAACAGGAUUAGAUACCCUGGUA